CGAGUGGCGGACGGGGGAGUAAUGUCUGGGAAACUGCCCGAUGGAGGGGGAUAACUACUGGAAACGGUAGCUAAUACCGCAUAACGUCGCAAGACCAAAGAGGGGGACCUUAGGGCCUCUUGCCAUCGGAUGUGCCCAGAUGGGAUUAGCUAGUAGGUGGGGUAACGGCUCACCUAGGCGACGAUCCCUAGCUGGUCUGAGAGGAUGACCAGCCACACUGGAACUGAGACACGGUCCAG
Molecule: ribosomal RNA, 239 nt
Filed under: uncultured bacterium
Lineage: Bacteria
Description: partial 16S ribosomal RNA
Rfam family: Bacterial small subunit ribosomal RNA
Source: RNAcentral